GAUAUAUAGAUAUUUUUUAUAUGGUGUGUGGUGUACAGUGAUAAAUAGUGGCUGCUCCCAAUAUUUUCUCCUAAUUUAUAACCUCUUCUUUAUGGAGAAUCCUUUUUGGCAAUGUGACACUAAAGUAAUAGCGCAUUAGUAUGCUCAAUGAAAGAUCCAAAAAAAAAAAAAGAUUGAGAAAUGAGGUUUUCUCUGCGAGUGUUCUCUACACCAUCUGUUGCGAAGGAUUUGAUUCAAGUCAUUUGGGAGUGCUUUCAUUACAUGAUGUAUUUGGGUUGACAUACAAAUUGCGAAGGUUUGAUAUUGUGAGAGUUGGAUUGAGUGAAUGUCUAUCUUGUAAAGAUGUAAGGUUCUAAAACUCUCUCAGAAUCUCUUCCAUUGACAUUGAAUUUCUCCAAUCGCUAGGUUGUUUGUGAUCGUAGAUUUUAGUCUUGGCAGUUGGAAUAGGCUAGAGCUGCGCUGCUGUCGUCGUCGACUAGCUUCUUGAGGCGGUCUUUGAUGAACUUGCUACGGGCUUUGGCACGGUCUUGUUGAGGGCCUAUGUUGGCGAAGGAGAGGUGGACUCCAGCGGCAAAGAGCGAGGCGCCGGCUACGAAGAAGCAGACGCUCACGGCUAGCAUCUUGGGCCUGGGUGGGUACGACCACAACACCAUCUGUUUGUUACAUUGACUCUGAGCUGCGGUGUGCUCUCGACUGACCGAGGAUGCUAGAAGUGAGUGUGGGGAAAAUGGGCUUAAUCCCCCAUAUGUUAGAUCUGUUUUCGUAAUGUCAAUUGGACCUUAUUUAAACCGACCCUAAUUCAGGUAAGCACCUCAACUUUGUCCUUCAAGCUUCUCUCAUUCUAAAGCUUGUUAAAAGCGAUUUUAUUAAAUAAAGGCCCAUCGGUGGGUGUAGCCCGAGGAUGGUCCCAGGAAGGCAAAAUCCUCUUUUUCUUUUUCUUUUUUUGGCUUAAUUGUUUUAAUAGUUUUAAACGUUUAAAAAAAAUUCACAAUAUCAUUAAAAAAUACAUCCUUAAUCACUAAGUUAAAAAAAAAGUGUUGGGAUUCAACUUUUGAUAGCUCUAUCAUUUUCCAUCUUCAAUAUAUUUAUGGAGAAUCUAAAAAAUAAUACUACUUGAUCAUUUGAAACUUAUUACUUAAAUGAUUAUCUUGACGUGAUACCAUGGUACUAUGCGGGUUAUUGAAAAAAUAAAAUAGAACACACAAAAGUGAUAGAAAAAACCUAGAUUUUAGUCUUCCUCUUUUUAUAUUUUCGAACACCUUUUUGUUCAACAUCAAGAGAGUCAUCUAAGUGAUAAGUUUGAAAUGAUCCAAUAGCAGUACUCAAAUCUCAAUUAUGAUAAUUAUCUAAUGCUUCCUUGGUCUGAUUUUCACCAGUGGAGAAGUUGAAUGCUUGUCAAUAUCAUCAUUUCCUUAAGCAUAACCGUUUCCUUAAUAGUUUAUUCUUUACGUGGCUGUAUCUGGCCGUAUCUUGUCCCGAAGAGAAUUGCAAAUUUACAAUACUUGUUCAUAGGCAACUCUUGAUACAACGACAACACAUUCCCUGCCGUUAUUAAUUUUUUUAUUAUCAUUGUUGUAAUAGUUUACAUUCCACCAUUGAUUUUUUUUAGAGCUCUUCAUUUUGACAAGCUAGAACAAACCCCUGUUUCUUGCGAGUCUCAAACAGCAUGGUUAUCCAAGAAUGAGAUUGUCACAGCGGCAUGAAGUGCUGCCCCUAUUGGAAGAGCCUCUUUAUCAAUAAAAAAGUAAGGAGAGUGCAAGGGCCGAUCUGAUUUCAGAGUCUCAUUUUUUAUUCCAACCACAAGUAUUGAAGCAGCAGUUUUCUGUGAGAAAAAGCCGAAAUCCUCUGCUCCUAUGGUCACCGGGAGAAGCUGCACAUUGGGUUUCCCAAGCAAGAUUUCACCAACCUUCUUUGCAUGUUCAUACAGUGCUUCAUCGUUUACCAUUACGGGAUGAGGCAUUGGUCUGUCCUCCAUGAAGUCCACCAUUGCUGUGCAUUGAUGCACUGAUGCUUGUGCCUCUAUGACCUGUGAAUGGGAAAUCACACAUACUUAGUUGUCUGAUAUUUGUGUGAUAACGAAAGAAUAUUACAUAGGUCAAACGAGGAGUGCAUAUUUUACCUCUUUGAUCCUUUCCUGGAUGAAAGAAAGGCCUUCGGUGCUCAAACUCUGAAAAGUUCCCCCGAAGCUCACAGAGUCUGGGAUUACAUUAUGCCUGACCCCCAUUUAUGAACCCAACUGUAACCACUUAUAUGAUUCAAGAUGAACUGAUUACAGUUACUUCAGGCUAUUGCUGUCAAAUCGAUUUGUUCAAAUCAUGAACCCUUCAAAUUUGAUUCUAACAGAAUGACUAGAGAUAUUGGACAAAUUUGAUCCUAA
Molecule: long non-coding RNA, 2377 nt
Organism: Carya illinoinensis
Lineage: Eukaryota; Viridiplantae; Streptophyta; Magnoliopsida; Fagales; Juglandaceae
Exons: 2
Source: RefSeq, a predicted model, not a curated record